Tupaia belangeri chinensis (Chinese tree shrew) is the source of this 327-nucleotide long non-coding RNA. RefSeq lists it as uncharacterized. Lineage: Eukaryota; Metazoa; Chordata; Mammalia; Scandentia; Tupaiidae. The record is from RefSeq and is a predicted model, not a curated record. The transcript is spliced from 5 exons.
GAAGGUCUCCAGAUGUGACCGUGGGACCUUCUCAUGUAGGAUGAAAAACACCGUGAUUGCAUUAUUCUCUAAUCAUGGAGACCCUUACUGAUACUUAUGGACUAAGGAGCAAAAAGAUUGAUGGUGAACAUUGGAGAGCUGAUAUGGUCAUUUAAUAAAGAACUGUUACCCACGUAGGGAGCAUGGACAGGAACAAUGAACGCCCUGAACCCAAUUUAAUUAUUAUCUUCUGGUGAAAGUAUUUCCUUUCAUCUGUAUGGGGAAGGAGAGAAGAGGUCAAUAAUGAGCACACCAUGGUGGAUGUAGACAUUCUCCAAAGACGACGAC